UAUAUAUCGAUGGUGCAUUAUUCUAGUCAUACAAACUUUUGUGAGGGUGGGGCUAAAAAUCCACUAAAGGGCACAUCGUUGAAGUUUCUUGUUUGUGCGUGAAAUGCCAGUUUUGCGUGUAACCAGGGAGUAAAGGGGUUAGGGUAUUAUGUAAUGGCAUACAUAUGAUCCCUAGUCUCGCGGAGGCUUAAUAGAUUUUUUAAGUAAAACCUAUGUUGAGUGCCAAGACACGAAAUACAUAGAGUAGCCUGUCUUGAGUGAAUGUAUUGGGAUUAAUUUGUUAAAGUAAAAAUAAAAUUGGCCAAAUUAAUUUUACUUCUGAAUUAUGAAAUUGCAAUUGCAAAAGAGACUAGCAAAAGAACAACGUGUAUGUUAAGGAAAACUUCUAGAAUGUUUGCUUAAAUCAAAAGCAUAGAAAUCUAGGGAUUAAGGUACAGAUUUAAGUGGCGAUCUGGUGUCUAUUUUUAUCUGAUAGAUUUUCUCCUUAAAUGGAAACAGCUACAACAGUAAUGUUAAGCGGAGAAAAGAGAAAUUCAACCAGACCUAAACUGUAAAAUUUACUUAGGUUUUGACCAUCUAAAUAAUAA
Molecule: small RNA, 587 nt
Filed under: human gut metagenome
Source: RNAcentral